This 253-nucleotide ribosomal RNA is filed under the name uncultured bacterium. RNAcentral's name for it is "partial 16S ribosomal RNA". It matches the Rfam family "Bacterial small subunit ribosomal RNA", at positions 524 to 776 of the family's 1533-position model. The record is from RNAcentral.
UACGAAGGGGGCUAGCGUUGCUCGGAAUCACUGGGCGUAAAGCGCACGUAGGCGGAUGUGCCAGUCAGGGGUGAAAUCCCGGAGCUCAACUUCGGAACUGCCUCUGAUACAGCACGUCUUGAGUCCGGAAGAGGUGGGUGGAAUUCCUAGUGUAGAGGUGAAAUUCGUAGAUAUUAGGAAGAACACCGGUGGCGAAGGCGGCCCACUGGUCCGGUACUGACGCUGAGGUGCGAAAGCGUGGGGAGCAAACAGG